AUAUUUACCUGGCAGGAGAGAUACCAUGAUCCCUAAGGUGGUUUUCCAAGGGCAAGGCUUAUUCAUUGCACUCUUGAUACAAUGUGGGAAGCUCAGCUGCAUAAUUUGUGGUUUUGGGGACA
This is a small nuclear RNA of Cervus hanglu yarkandensis (Yarkand deer), 122 nucleotides long. Its record names the gene U1. It matches the Rfam family "U1 spliceosomal RNA". Rfam says of the family: U1 is a small nuclear RNA (snRNA) component of the spliceosome (involved in pre-mRNA splicing). Its 5' end forms complementary base pairs with the 5' splice junction, thus defining the 5' donor site of an intron. There are significant differences in sequence and secondary structure between metazoan and yeast U1 snRNAs, the latter being much longer (568 nucleotides as compared to 164 nucleotides in human). NCBI's taxonomy places the organism in Eukaryota, Metazoa, Chordata, Mammalia, Artiodactyla, Cervidae. The record is from Ensembl.